Long non-coding RNA from Marmota monax (woodchuck), 5254 nucleotides. RefSeq lists it as uncharacterized. The transcript is spliced from 3 exons. The record is from RefSeq and is a predicted model, not a curated record. Lineage: Eukaryota; Metazoa; Chordata; Mammalia; Rodentia; Sciuridae.
UAAUCUUGGAACAAGACAAGUUUUUGUUCAAUUAAUUGUGGCUGGAAACUUUUUAAUGGAAACAUAGCACACACUUACUUCAUUUCAGGUUAUUAAAUUGUGUUAAGCAUUAAAGUUAGUUGCAAUUCUUUGCUGUACCUCAUUUGUUCUUCUCGAUCCAAAGAAAUAUUAGAAGGUUAAAACUUAUCACAUAGGAGGGAUUAAUCAUGCUACCAAAAUUAGAAAGCAUGUAGCUCUGUAAGACCGAGUGUGGAAAUUGUGUGCUCAUAGCACUUAAACUAUUGGGAAUCUAGGCUUCCCCUGCAGCACUUGACAUGGCAAUUCAUGUCUGUGGAAACCCCUGGUAGUUGGAAGCUGGCUAAAGCUAGGGUUCUCUUAUUCAUUGGUUAAGGGCACCACUUUCAGAUAAAAACAUAGACCUGAAUAGCAUCAUCCAGUAUCCAAGGAAACCAUGACUUCUAGACUGAGGAAAAUGAGAGAAGCAAGAAACAUCAGCUCAUCAAUCCAGAAUGUCAGAGAAAGCAAUAUUUUUUUUAAAGGAAAAAGGCUUAGACUAUUCAUGGACCUUUCAAUAUAGUCCUAUUUAAUCUACACUAUUUUUGAAUUAAGAUCUAGUCCUAUUAGGCAUUCCUUUUCUUCUUUGCUACCCUCACAAACAACUACCUUGUCUCCCCCAUCUCUUUUCUCUAGAUCAUUUUCCCGGUCUUUUUUUCUAUUAAUACACAUUGUGCUGUGUCUCAAACCCUUACUGUGGCCUUCAGAGGUGAACACACAUGAAGAAUUGAGUACAGGGCCAAUAUAUGUAUUUAGCCCUGGGUAUAUCACUGCCACACCCCACUCCACAGAGAAAAGGUGCUUUUGGAUCCCAGGAGCUCUCUAGUUCUUCAUGAAGCUCCCAGCUGUGUCCACUUGCCACCUGACUUCUUAUUGUUUCUGUUGCCUAGAUGUCCCCAGUCCCUGCCUACUUGUCCUGCCAGACCACCAGGUCGGUCUGGUCUCAGGGUACAGCUGUUUCUCGCCGUUACUUUCUUCCAUUAUUGACAAUUUCUGGAUAACCUAUGGAAAUUUGUGGUGACAACUUUGAACAACUCUGGGUUUUGUAGCUGGCUCCUUGGAAAUCUCCAGUGAAAUUCCCAGAGUGAUAAGAGCUAAAGAAGUUCAAAGGACCAGCAGAGAUUGCCACAGAAACUGCAGCAUUUUCAAAGCAGUAUUGCUUUUAGGCUAUGAACUACAAUGGGCACAAAGAAUGAUUAUCCCUUUUAAAAAUGCUAUGUUGUGACUCUCGAUACUUGCCUCACUGGUUGUCACAACUGUCUACAGACAGAGUUCUUCAGUGUGUGGUGCAUGGCUCCACACUAUUCUGCCACUCAAGUGAAGGGUAUGCCUAGGGCCUUAGUUUGUGUAAACAUUGUUUUGCUGACUAUGAAUUUUGAACUACUAAUGUUACCACCUUCCACUUAGUGAUAAUUUACUCUUCUAUUCCAUGCUGAUGUUUUAGAUCAAGAUUUUAUGGUAAAAUUUAGGCACUUUUAUGUGCAUUCCUGCUUGCUUAGAUAAAAUUACAACACAUGGCUUAAUUAGUAAGAUGUGUAUGUUCAUGAGGGAAGGCACACUUCCCACCAUUUUUUCCCCCAUUUCCAGGAAAUUGCAUUAUGAAAAUAUUGCUUUGGAAAAGGAAUGGAGCCAUUCCCUGAGUGGAAUUUAUUAUAAUUUAGCAGUUAUAUAAUUGUAAUUGAGCCACUCUAACAAAGGCUACCAUUCAUUUCUGUUGAAGCAUCAUCUAAAAAAAUCUAGCAACAUCUACUGUUGGAACUGAUGCCGGUCUAUUGAGUAGGUAACUAUGCCUGAACACAAAUUUGAAAUCCUUUGGGAACUAACUAUUGUUCUCAUUGUUUAUUAACUAUCUGAAUUUCUAAUAUCCAUUCUUUGAGGUCUUAAGAGAUGAUAGUAUUCAAUGGAAAUACAUGUUGUAGGGAUAACAUGCUGAACUGCUACAACUAAUACUUGAAUGAUAAUAAGUAGUCAACUUGAUGAGAAGUAAUGUUUAGUCAGCUUUUUUUGGUGCUAUGACCAAAAGAGCUGAAAAAUUUUCCUCAUUAAAGGAGGAAAAGUUUAUUUGGGGGCUCACAGUUUCAGAGGUCUCAGGUCAUAGAUGACAGGCACCAUUCCUCGGGGCCCAAAGUGUGGCAGAGCAUCAUGGUGAAAGUGUUUGGCAGAAGACAGCAGCUCAAGAUGUGGCAGCGUGGAAGCAGAGAGAGAUUAUCUGGUCUCCAGGGACAAAAUAUAUACCCUAAAAGCACCCCCCUAGAAACCUACUUCCUUUAGCCACACAAUAACUGCCUAGGGUUGCCACCCAGUUAAUACCAUUCAGGGGAUUAACACACUGAUUAAGGUUAAGACUCUUAUAAUCUAAUCAUCUCACCUCUUAACAUUCUUUCAUUGUUUUACACAUGAGCUUUUGGGGGACACUUCAUAUCUAAACAAUAAAAAGUAGGCCUAUGCAAAUAGUAUAUAGAGAUGUCACCUGGAAGUGACUGAAAAAGUAGAGAGAGGUCUGAAAGUGAGAGCUACAAACUCUAAUGUUUGUCUACUAUCUGUUUAUUAAAGUUAUAAAAAUUUGCUAAACUCUGGUUAUAUAAUUAUUUUGCUGAGCCUUGCUGUAACCAUCUUUAUUCUUUUUAAAAAAGAAUAUGUAUGUUCAUUAAUUUUUUAAAAUAAUAAAAAUUAACAGACCAAUAAUGAGUUCAAGUCAGUAAUAAAAAGUCUCCUAUCAAAGACAAACCCAGGACCAGAUGGCUUCACUACUGAAUUCUAAAAAAGCACUUAUAGAAAAACUAAUACUAAUUCUUAAAGUACACAAAACAUUGAAGAGGAAAGAAUUCUUUCAAAUUGAUUCUGUGAGACCUGUGUUACCUUGCUACCCAAACCAGAUAAGGACACAACAAAAAAAUAAAACUUCAGGCCAAUGUCCUUGAUGAGCAUAGAUGCAAAAAUCCUUGAUAAAAUGCUAGCAAACUGAAUCCAACAGCACAUUAUAAUGUUAUUUACCAUGAUCAAGUGGUACUCAUCCCAGGGAUGCAAUAAUUAUUCAACAUUAGCAAGCCAAUAAAGGUGAUGCAACAUAUCAACAGAAUGAAGGAGAAAACCCAUGUGAUCAUCUUAAUAGAUGCAGAAGAUGAAUUUGAUGAAAUUCAACAUCCAUCAUGAUAAAACUCUGAGCAAAUUGGGUAUAAAAGGAGCAUACUUCAACAUAAUAAAGGUCACAUAUAAUAAGAUAACAGCUUAUAUACAGAAUAGAGAGAAACUGAAAGUUUUCUAAGAUCUGGAACAAAACAAGGAUGUCCACUUUUGCCACAUUUACUCAGUGUUAGAACUGGGUAUCCUAGUCAAAGCAAUCAGGCAAGAGAAAGAAAUAAAGGGUAUUCAAACUGGAAAUGAAGAAGUCAAAUUGUCACUCCUUGAGUGUGAGUAAGUGCAUAUGAGUGUGUGUGUGUGUGAGUAUCUGUGAGUGGUUGUGUGUUGAAUGAGUUUGAGUGGGUAUGUGUAUGUAUGUGUGAAUGUGUGUUUGAGUGAGUGUGUGUAUAUAAAAUCAUGUAUAUACAAAGUGUCCACUAAAAAAUCUUAUUAAAACUAAUAAGUGAAUUCAUAAAAAUUUCAGGAAACAAAAUCAACAUCUAAAAAUCAAUAGUGUUGGUAUAUACCAGUAGCCAAUUAUCUCAAGUAGAAAUCAAAAAAGAAAUUUCAGUUAUUAUAGCUAAUAUAUAUAAUAAAAUUAUAGAAAUUAGUGAACUGGGCAUGGCUGCACAUGACUAUGUGUAAUAAUUCAGGAGACUGAGACAGGAGGAUUUCAAGUUCAAGGCCAAUUUGAGCAACUUGGAGAGAACCUAUCUCAAAAUAAAAAAAAUAUAAAAGGCUGGGGAAGCAGCUCAGAGGUAAAGUUUCCUUGGGUUAAAUCACCAGAACCAGAAGAAAAAAAGACAUUGGUGAAAUUAUUUGAAGAUGACAAAGGAAAAUGGAAUAAAAAAUUUUUGCAGAUUGCAAGAAUUAAUACUGUUAAAACAUCCAUACUUUCCAAAGCAAUCUAUGAGUUCAAAGCAUUCUUUAUCAAAAUACCAAUAACAUUCUUCACAGUAUCUGAAAAUCCCCCCAAAUUUGUGUAGAAUCACACACACACACACACACACACACACACACACACACACCCCUGAUAGUCAAAACCAUCUUGAGCAAAAAGAACAAAGCAGGAGACAUUAUACCUGAUUUCACCAUAUUCUACAAAGCUACAGUCAUCAAAAUAUGAUUGAGCUUUAUGAUUGAGCUAUAUCACACCUGGGUAUAUACCCAAAGGAAUCAAAGUCAGCAUGCUACAGAGAUACCUGCAUACCCAUGUUAAUCACAGCACUAUUUAUAAUAGCCAAGUUAUGGAAUCAGCCUAGGUACCCAUUGAUGGAUGAGUGGAUAAAGCAAAUGUGGUACACAUACACAACAGACUAUUAUUCAGCCAUUAAAAAGGGUAAAAUCACAUCAUUUGUAAAAUGGAUGGAAUGGGAGAUCAUAAUGUUAAGCCAAGUAAGUCUGACUCAGAAAAACAAGUAUCAUAUCUUUUCCCUCGUAUAGGGGUGAAAAGAUAUGAAAGUUGCAGGGAUAUUAUUAGAGGAAGGGGGUCAGGAGGAAGGUAGAAAAGAGGGCAAGAGAGAGUAAUAAGAAGUAGACACAAUCAAAGUAUGUUAUUUGCAUAUGCCAUAAUGAAACCCAUUGUUCUGUAAAAUUAAAAUUCACUUAAAAAAGAAAAACAACAGAUAUUGGUAUAAAACUAGACACACAGACCAUUGGAACAGAAUCAGCCAAGAAGCAAACCCGUGCUUCUAUAGCUAACUGAAUUUUAACAAAUUGGUGAAAGGAAAGUCUUUUCAAUAAAUGGUGUUGAAAAAUUAGAUAACCAAAUGCAGAAGGAAAAAAAACUAGAAAAUGUGAUGGAUAAGCAUACUAGAAUACUAUUCAGCCAUAAAAGAAAGAAAUCCUGUCUUUUGUGAUAACAUUGAUGGAACUGAAUAUCAUGAUGUUAAGGGAAAUAUACCAGACACAGUGAGACAAACAUUGCAUGAUCUCAGUCAUACAUGAAAUCUAAGAUUGUUGAUCUCAUAGAAGUUGAGAGUAGAAUGGUGGUUACCAGAGGCUGAUCAAAGUAGGAAGAAGGAAGGGAUGGGGGCACCACACUUCCAUAGGAGCAAGAAGUUCUGCUGGGCCACUGUGU